Oncorhynchus gorbuscha (pink salmon) is the source of this 7786-nucleotide RNA transcript. It is a transcript of the gene named CLIP-associating protein 1-B-like, with no coding region annotated. The record is from RefSeq and is a predicted model, not a curated record. The transcript is spliced from 38 exons. Lineage: Eukaryota; Metazoa; Chordata; Actinopteri; Salmoniformes; Salmonidae.
UAAAACCCCUGGACAGUUCCUGACUGGACUGCUGUUACCUCUGCAUUCUCGCCUUCCCCGUGAUUUCAUCUCCACAGCAUACCCUUGAAAUAAAGGGUCAACCUUUUGGGAUAAACAUUACACACUUUCUGGGAUAUAGGAAAGUGUGUAAUAUAUCUGGGAUAUAGGCCUACACUACAGUUGAGAUCUUCUCUGUGAGCAGACUAGGCCUAUACAUUUUUCCUUGUAUCGUGAUAUUGUGGUGUUAUUCCUUUGGUGAGACCACUAUGGAGUGGAAUAUGGAGUACUGUAUGGAGCAGGUUAUGCAGAAGGACCUGGGUCGGAGACUACAGGUGGGCCAAGACAUCAUAGACUCCAUCCUGGACAAGGACAAGUCCCAGGACCUGGAGCAGGACCAGACCAUGCUGGACAGAAUGGUGGAUGGUGUCGCUACCAACUGGGUCAACUCCAGCAAUUUCAAGGUGGCUUUGUUGGGAAUGGACAUACUGACAGCUUUGGUAACAAGACUACAGGAACGGUUUAGGACACAGAUUGGAACUGUUUUGCCGAGUUUGAUAGAUCGGCUAGGCGACUCAAAGGACCAAGUCCGAGACCAGGACCAAGCUCUUCUGCUAAAGAUCAUGGACCAAGCUGCUAACCCACAGUAUGUAUGGGACCGAAUGUUAGGAGGAUUCAAACACAAGAACAACAGGACCCGGGAGAGUGUCUGCAUUUGCCUUAUCGCCACGUUAAAUGUAUAUGGAGCUCAAGGCUUGACCCUCAGCAAAAUUGUCCCCCACAUAUGUAAUCUUUUAGGAGACCCUACAAGCCAGGUGCGAGACGGGGCCAUGAACUGUCUUGUUGAAAUCUACAGACACGUCGGGGAGCGGGUGCGGAUGGACCUGGGGAAAAAGGGACUGCCACAGUCACGGUUGAAUGUCAUUUUCAGUAAAUUUGAUGAAGUUCAAAGAUCGGGGAACAUGAUCCUGUCCCCUGUCUCAGAUAAGAACUAUGAUGAUGAUGAUUCGGUGGACGGGGGGCGGUCCUCCUCUUCUAAGGGCCCCUCGUCAGGGAAGAAGGCAGUGAGCAUGGGGUCGUUCCGUAGGCCCAGCUCUGCUUCCAGCACCAAAUCAACAGGGAGAGAUGGUCCUAGUGCGGCUGCUGCAGGGGCUGUGGAUGAGGAGGACUUCAUCCGUGCCUUCGAGGAAGUGUCCACUAUGGAACUUUUCUCUAACAGGGAAAUGGAGGACGCCAUGACCAAGAUCAGAGAGGUGCUGGCUGACGACAAACGAGACUGGGAGCACAGAGUCACUGCGUUGAAGAAGAUGCGUUCUCUGCUCCUGGCGGGAGCGGUGGAGUUUGACGGUUUCUCCCAGCAGCUGCGUCUCACAGAGGCAGCCCUCAAGAUGUCCUCUAAAGACCUGCGCUCUCAGGUGGUCAGAGAGGCUUGUAUCACUCUGGGCCACCUGUCCUACAUCCUGGGGAACAGGUUUGACCACUGUGCAGAGUCCAUCAUGCCCACUCUCCUAACCCUGGUCUCUAACUCGGCCAAGGUCAUGGCCACAUCCGGCAUCGCUGUCAUACGACUCAUCAUCAGGCAUACACACUACCCUCGUCUCAUUCCUAUCGUGACCAGCAGCUGCCAGUCGAAAUCUGUGGCCGUAAGAAGGCGCUGUUUUGAGUUUUUGGACCUCUUGCUGCAGGAGUGGCAGACCAACUCUCUAGAGAGGAAUGUAGCUGUUCUGACAGAGACCAUCAAGAAAGGAGUCCAUGAUGCAGACUCCGAGGCCAGAUCAGUGGCCAGGAAGUGCUACUGGACGUUCCACGGCCACUUCAGCCGGGAGGCAGAGCAGCUGUUCCAGGCUCUAGAGUCGUCCUAUCAGAAGGCUCUCCAGUCCCACAUGAAGAGUUCUGACAGCAUCCUGUCCCUCCCUGCCUCAGACCGCUCCUCCUCCUCCUCACAGGAGAGCCUCAACCGCCCUCAGUCUGCCAAGAGCUCCAUGGGAAACACCGUGACCAGGACGAAAGCGGCUCCCUCCAGAGGUCCCUCCACCCCGGUCUCUCUCCAGCGUUCCCGUAGCGACGUGGACGUGAACGCUGCUGCCACCGCUAGUGCCAAAACCAGGAUGACUCCCGUGCCCGCCUCGCCCGCCCCCUUCAGCGCUGCCUCGGCUCUGCCACCCGGCUCCUAUGCCUCUCUAGGCCGUGUGCGUACCAGGAGAACGAGUUCGGGGAGGCGUGGGGGCCAGUCCCUCUGUCAUAGACAGUAGGGGGAGGAGUCGAGCCAAAAUGGUGUCAGUGUCUCAACCUGGCAGUCGUUCUGGCUCCCCUGGUCGUCUCCUGAGCCAUACAUACGGCAGGAUCUCCAGGGCCACUGCAGGGACAACGCCAGCAGAAAGGAGGCCUAAAGUCCCCCGCAGCCAUGGCUGCAGCCGAGACACCAGUCCAGACAGAUCAGGCCUGGCGAGGAGUCGUAUCCCCCGGCCCAGCAUGAGUCAGGGCUGCAGCAGGGACACCUCUAGGGAGAGCAGCCGAGAUACCAGCCCCGCUCGGGGAUUCUCUCCUCUGGCAUCCAGACGUGUCUCCCGCUCCACCAGUGCUCUCCACUCGGCUGAGUCUGUGGGCCACUCAGAGCGUCUAGGUCUGGCCCACCAGGCCCGUAUCUCGGCCUCUGUCAACGCCAUGAGGAUCCUCAACACUGGGACCGAGGUGGAGGCAGCUGUAGCCGACGCCCUGUUACUAGGCGACGCCAGGAACAACAAGCGGCGGCCAGUCAGACGGCGGUACGAGUCCCCGGGGAUCUACUCAGACGACGACGCGAACAGCGACGCCAGCAGCGCCUGCUCUGAGCGCUCGUAUGGCUCGCGGAACGGCGGCCCGCCCCACUACAUGAGACAGACGGAGGACGUGGCCGAGGUGCUGAACCACUGUGCCAGUUCCAACUGGUCUGAGAGGAAGGAGGGGCUGCUGGGACUACAGAACCUGCUCGUUAGCCAGAGAAUUCUCAGUCGUGUGGAGCUGAAGCGAUUGUGUGAGAUCUUCACAAGGAUGUUUGCUGACCCACACAGCAAGCGAGUGUUCAGCAUGUUUCUGGAGACCCUGGUAGACUUCAUCACCCUGCACAGAGAGGACGUGCAGGACUGGCUGUUUGUCCUGCUCACCCAGCUGCUGAAGAAGAUGGGAGCUGACCUCCUGGGUUCCGUACAGGCCAAGGUCCAGAAGGCUCUGGACGUCACCAGGGACUCGUUCCCGUUCGACCAGCAGUUUAACAUCCUGAUGCGUUUCAUCGUGGACCAGACCCAGACCCCCAACCUGAAGGUCAAGGUGGCCAUCCUGAGGUACAUUGAGUGCCUGGCCCGUCAAAUGGACCCCGCAGACUUUGUCAACUCCAGCGAGACGCGCCUGGCCGUCUCCCGCAUCAUCACCUGGACCACGGAACCAAAGAGCUCCGACGUCCGGAAGGCGGCUCAGGUGGUUCUGAUCGCCUUGUUUGAGCUGAACACCCCAGAGUUCACCAUGCUGCUGGGGGCCCUGCCCAAGACCUUCCAGGACGGAGCCACUAAACUGCUGCAUAGCCACCUGCGGAACUCCAGCAACACCAGAGUGGCUUCUCCCAGUAGCACCAUGGGACGUACUCCUCCCCCACCUCGCCACCCCAGCAGUCGCAGCAGCCCCCUCACCUCUCCCACCAACUGCUCCCAUGGGGGGCUCUCUCCCAGCAUGUUGGAGAACGACACAGAGAACCUGAACACCGAUCAGAUCUAUAGUUCCCUGCGAGGCGUCACUGAGGCCAUCCAGAACUUCAGCUUCCGCAGUCAGGAGGACCUCAUGGAGCCGGGCAGAGGCAAGAGAGAGGACACGCCGGGUGUUGGAACAGCAUCACACUCUGGUGCCGACGUGGUGGAGGGGCCCGGGGGUCGCACGGCCCUGGACAACAAGACCUCCCUACUCAACACCCCCUCCCCCCGUUCCUUCUCCGGCCCCCGGGGCCGCGACUACAACCCCUACAACUACUCUGACACCAUCAGCGCCUACGACAAGGCUGCCCUGAGAGAGACUGUGUACGAGGACGACGUGGAGCAGCUUCGAGAUGGCCGCCAAGAGUGUGGUGGAGAAAACAAGAUGCUGCACACCAAGAACAGUUCCCCUGCGGAGCAGCUGGGACUGGUGGGUGAGCUGCUGAAGGAGCUGUCUAACCCCAGUGAGAGGCCAGAGGAGAGGAGGGGAGCCCUGGUGGAGCUGCUGAAGAUAGCCCGGGAGGACAGCCUGGCAGUGUGGGAGGAACACUUCAAAACCAUGCUGCUCCUGCUGCUGGAGACUCUGUCAGACCAAGAUCACACCAUCCGGGCACUGGCGCUACGAGUGCUGAAGGAGAUCUUACGCAACCAGCCGGCCCGCUUCAAGAACUACGCAGAACUCACCAUCAUGAAGACCCUGGAGCUACACAAAGACUCCCACAAAGAGGUUGUGCGGGCAGCAGAGGAGUCAGCCUCCACCCUGGCCGGCUCCAUCCACCCAGAACAGUGUAUCAAGGUGCUGUGUCCCAUCGUCCAGACAGCUGACUACCCCAUCAACCUGGCUUCCAUCAAGAUGCAGACCAAGGUGAUCGAACGCAUCACCAAGGAGUCCCUGCACCAGCUGCUGCCUGACAUCAUACCAGGACUACUGCAGGGGUAUGACAACACAGAGAGCAGUGUGAGGAAGGCCAGUGUGUUCUGUCUGGUGGCUGUCUACUCUGUCAUUGGUGAAGAGCUGAAGCCCUACCUGGCCCAGCUCACAGGAAGCAAGAUGAAGCUGCUGAACCUGUACAUAAAGAGAGCCCAGACGUCCACCAGCAACAGUAGCAGCUCCUCAGACAUCUCCUCAUACUAAUGAACAUGACCCUCCGGCUCCAUCCGUGUGUAUGUGCAGGUACAUACAGUACAGGGUUGUGUUCAUAGGGCACCAAACGGUGCAAAACAGACUGAAACAGGAAGGGACUGCGUGGACUACUGGUCCAAUCAGAAACACUAAUUGUAUUAUAUUUUUACCGUUUUGAAAUAUUUUCCAUGGCGUGCCCUAAUGAACGCGACCCAGAUAGGGAAACAGUUGUGCCUCAAUCUUUCUUUCCAGACCUCCUUGUCGUUUUUAAUGUAUUAUAAUAAAGGCUGUAGGCUGUUCCUGGUUGGGAAACCCUAUGCCUGUCACAAUCAACAUUUUAUUUCCCUCUGUUUUGUCGUCUUGUAAAUACUUUUAAUUCCACAUUUUAUUAAGAUUUGAAUGCAACACUACUUCACACCCAGUCAAAUGAAUGUAAAGAGCUUUGAAGGAAACCUGAGUCCUUUUUAAACCGUCUGAAAGGUUUUGAUGUUGAUGGAAGCCGAGUGUCGCUCUGUACACGACCGCCUCAUUGCCUCUAGUGUUCCUUCUCACAAUGGACAGAGAGGCUUAUUUGGAAACGUGUUUGGUUAUUUGUAAAGGGGCAAUUUAAAAAUGGCGAUUUUGAUAGUAAUUAUUCCAUAGUAUUUGGCGCCUGAAGAAUUUGUUCUUGGUGACGAUGCGAUGUUUUUAAGCCUGUAUUUAAAGAAUAAUCCUUGUAGAAUUUCUCAGUUAGUGAGAAUCUAAAAACGUUCAUUUCCGUUAGUGGGAGAAGAUCAUUUGGCUGGCCAAUGAUUAGUACAUGCAGUGAAAAGCUGUAUUGAAAAGCCUCUGUAAAACUGCCUAUGUGUUACACCUGUGUUGACUGUGUGGUUUGGGCCCCAACAACUUGUGAAGGAAUAUUUUCCAUUUUCACAAGGAUUACAAUAUGUUAUUAUGAAAGGGGAGUUAUUGGUAGAGUUGGUCGAGGUUUUGAGUCUGCUGUUUUUUUGUGCUUUAACAUUCGGGCACGUUGUAAUGAGUCAAAACUACUGGGAUCUGAAGUAUUCUUGCAAUGUAAAACCGUAAUGACGAGUCCUAGAAUUUUCAAAUGUGAAAUAUUUUUGUCUAAGAACAAAAUAAUGGCAAUACCUAUUUGUCAUAUAGUAUAAACACCUUGACAAUCUGACGUAUUAGUCGAGAAUCUAAGGACAUUGUAAGUGCCAGUGCUCAACAAAAAAUCUUUACCAUUUAAAGACAUAGGAGGCAAAAAAAUAAAUAAAUAGUCUUUUGAAUUGAAUCCAGCAAUAAUGAAUUAGUAACAUAAAAUCCAACUACUUGGAUGAACUUUCUUUGUCAAAUCACUGUAAAUUACCAUUGUAAGUUAACCGGCCUUGUUUGAAAUGUAUAGAUGCCAUUUUUUAGCUCUCCUAUGAAAUGUUACUGCUGCUUUAGAAAUACUAAUCAUGGCGUUAAACCUAAUGUAUUUUACUCUACUUAUUUUGGGUCAAUUCCAUUUCAAUUCAAUCCAUUCAGAAAUUUCAUUUCCCAAUUUUCCUCAAUGCUUGUCUACGGGGAUUUAAAAAAUGAAAUUGGAAUUUCAGUUUACUUCCUGAUUUGAUUGAAAGGAAUUGAGCCCAACCUUGUUGAAAGUCCAGAUAAAGGUGGCGUGUUACUGAGAACACUAUCGGGCCUUACUGUUUCUGUAGUAUAGUUUCACUACAUUGACUGUUAAAAUGUACUGUAACAGUGCACAAUGAUUUAUUUUUUUCUCAAAUGUGAGAACUCUUAGCAAUUUUAUCAGCUACAGACUAGAUGGAAUAUUGGCUAUGACCAAGUCCAAAAUGUUGUCAAAUACAAAACACAGUAUUUCUUUUGUUAGACCUGCCUGUUGCAAUUGAAUCAAAAAUGAAACUCAAAAUUAGUGUUUUGUACAGUACUUUUAAUCAUUGAUUCACAAACUUGUUGUUAAAGAGAGUCAGAGAGAGACCUAAUUUGCAUGUGAGGGAACAUGCAAUAUUAUACCCAGCAACCUCAAUGAUUAACUAACAUUCCCAACUCUGACUUUAUGUUGAAGAAACAUUGCUUCUAAUCUAUGAAUGUCUGGUCAGCUUGUAUUAUAUCACACACACACACACACACACACACACACACACACACACACACACACACACACACACACACACACACACACACACACACACACACACACACACACACACACACACACACACACACACACACACACACACACACACUAUUGAUAUCCAUCACAGCUACCAAGCUAGGGCUGAUUUAACAGACCAAACAUUGUAUACUAUACUGUAAUUGUAUGCUGUGUGCACACACUGGCCUGUAUCAAAAACCAAACCCUAUUAUCCUCAAGCCAUGUAUCUUGAGCGUGUAUUUGCUUGUGCCUUGUUUUGUUUUUUUUACAGUACACCUGGCAAUAUUAAUCCAUACUAAUAGCUUCUGAAUACUGCUUUUGAAUUGUUCUUUUUGCCCCCAUUUUGAAAUACUGUAUUAUAUGUCAUGAAUUAUACAGGAAAUGUGUUGCGUUGAAGACCAAGGUUAUUUCCCAAGUUGCACCCUAUUCCCUACCUAGUGCCCUACAUCUGACCAGAGUCUUAUGGGACUCUGUCAAAAGUAGUGCCCUAUAUAGGGCAUAAAGUUCCAUUUGGGAUGCAUCCUAAGGCUGCUGUAAAUAAAGCCAAUAGUUUAAUGGCAGUAUUUUCCACAGAUGUAAUAUUGGCUUGGCUGUUCUAUUCCUUGUGAACCACUUACAAUGCAUGCUUCUUUUGUUUAGCUUCAGUCAUUGUUUUAUCCCUCCCGUACCUAUAUUUAUAUGCAGUCUGUUCUAUUUUCUGUGUAUUAUGACAGCUGUACAUAUUUCAUGUUUUGUUCACUUCUUUCUCACUUGAUAGAAUUUGUUGAAAUUUAAACUUGAAAUAAACCAACUUCAGUCCCUGUC